RNAcentral lists this ribosomal RNA (488 nucleotides) under uncultured bacterium. RNAcentral describes it as "partial 16S ribosomal RNA". It matches the Rfam family "Bacterial small subunit ribosomal RNA", at positions 30 to 507 of the family's 1533-position model. The record is from RNAcentral.
AUUGAACGCUGGCGGCAGGCCUAACACAUGCAAGUCGAACGGUAGCACAGAGAGCUUGCUCUCGGGUGACGAGUGGCGGACGGGUGAGUAAUGUCUGGGAAACUGCCCGGUGGAGGGGGAUAACUACUGGAAACGGUAGCUAAUACCGCAUAAUGUCGCAAGACCAAAGAGGGGGACCUUCGGGCCUCUUGCCAUCGGAUGUGCCCAGAUGGGAUUAGCUAGUUGGUGAGGUAAUGGCUCACCAAGGCGACGAUCCCUAGCUGGUCUGAGAGGAUGACCAGCCACACUGGAACUGAGACACGGUCCAGACUCCUACGGGAGGCAGCAGUGGGGAAUAUUGCACAAUGGGCGCAAGCCUGAUGCAGCCAUGCCGCGUGUAUGAAGAAGGCCUUCGGGUUGUAAAGUACUUUCAGCGGGGAGGAAGGCAAUGCGGUUAAUAACCGUGUUGAUUGACGUUACCCGCAGAAGAAGCACCGGCUAACUCCGUG